RNAcentral lists this long non-coding RNA (1257 nucleotides) under Homo sapiens (human). Its description in RNAcentral is "non-protein coding lnc-COA6-7:3". The record is from RNAcentral. Lineage: Eukaryota; Metazoa; Chordata; Mammalia; Primates; Hominidae.
GGGAGUUUGACAGGUGAAGAGACCUCUUUCAGGCAGAGGGAACAAAAUAAGCCACAGUCCUCAUCCUUGAACCAGGUGAGAACUUCUAGCUUACUGGGUAAAGUCCAAUUAACGUGGUGCAGAAUUCCAUCCAUGGCAGGGCUCCUGCUGUCUCCAGCCUCAUCUCCAGGCACACCCUGCACCCUUGAGAAGACAAUGCUUCCGUGUCCACCAGUUCAUUCCUUCCAGACACAUCCCAGUGGUGUCUAGCUCAGGUCUCAGCUCCUGGAAAGGGACAAGGACGCCCCAGAGUCUGCUUUUUUGACACUUACCUUCUGGUCCCCCUGAAAAAUCAUGCUGCAUCACGCCUGCACAUUGUCCUUUCUGCGGAAAUGUCCUGUCUCCCCAUCUCUAUCUGCCAAAGACCCACGCAUAAUGCAAACAAUUCAGGUUUCACCCUUUGCAGUGAACUUUGUACAGCUCUCCCAGAGCCGUGGAGUCUAGGUCUAUGCCCAAGAGAGAUGCAUGAAAUGUUUUACUGGUUUCUGCAAAUAAGCCAGACCAAGGGAGAAACAGACCUUCAGCAAGUAGUAACCAAAUGCAAGUUUUGAGAAUGUGGAGGGAGAGGAGCUUCUGCCCCUGCAAACUGGGCAGUGCAUCCAAGGUCUCCUGCUAACAUCUGUCACUCAUCGGAGCCACCUGAUCUGAAGCGUUGUCAGGGUCAGUAUUUUUGUUCUGCCUGCUGUUUUGCUAAUGGAUCAAUGGCAGUCAGUAAAGAACAAACCGUGCCAGAAAAGAAUGUCCUCUUCUUCUCAGCUGACUCAGCUCGGGACAGGAAGACAGGGGGCAUCUGGCAUUUGGGGAAGCCCUUGAUUGUCCCUUAGGAAAUAACUGAAAAUGGAUUUGUGUUGGCCUGGUUCUAAGAAGGUCACCCAGGUUGAAUUUGAAAAGCAGAGGCACUGUGUCCACAAAAGAAAGUGAUAAGCAGCAAGCCAUUUCUCAAAGCUAAUGCCCGAGUGUGUACCACCGGGAUCCAUUUUAUAUCUCUCUACAGAUUGGUGUGUUUUUCAUGACAACCAUCCCCAUAGCAACCAGGUGUCCAGGCACUAAAUUGAUCUCAAGGAUAUGAAAUCUCAGCCUGGUGAGGGAAGCCCACUCUGACUGCAGUUUCCUUGGAGUCGUUUCACAUCGAGGGCUGGUGUGCAGGUCAUGGGGAAUGGGGCUUCUUCCUGAGGGCUCAGCUGGACACAAGGGACAGCCCUGGUGAGAGGGGAGCCU